UCCUGUGUGGCUCAGUCGGUAGAGCAUGGCACUUGCAAUGCCAAGGGUCAUGGGUCCGAUUCCUGCGGGGG
RNAcentral lists this transfer RNA (71 nucleotides) under Salmo salar (Atlantic salmon). It matches the Rfam family "tRNA". Rfam says of the family: Transfer RNA (tRNA) molecules are approximately 80 nucleotides in length. Their secondary structure includes four short double-helical elements and three loops (D, anti-codon, and T loops). Further hydrogen bonds mediate the characteristic L-shaped molecular structure. tRNAs have two regions of fundamental functional importance: the anti-codon, which is responsible for specific mRNA codon recognition, and the 3' end, to which the tRNAs corresponding amino acid is attached (by aminoacyl-tRNA synthetases). tRNAs cope with the degeneracy of the genetic code in two manners: having more than one tRNA (with a specific anti-codon) for a particular amino acid; and 'wobble' base-pairing, i.e. permitting non-standard base-pairing at the 3rd anti-codon position. The record is from Rfam by way of RNAcentral. Lineage: Eukaryota; Metazoa; Chordata; Actinopteri; Salmoniformes; Salmonidae.